GUGGGGAAUAUUGGGCAAUGGGCGCAAGCCUGACCCAGCAACGCCGCGUGAAGUAAGAAGGCUUUCGGGUUGUAAACUUCUUUUACCAGGGACGAAACAAAUGACGGUACCUGGUGAAUAAGCCACGGCUAACUACGUGCCAGCAGACGCGGUAAUACGUAGGUGGCGAGCGUUAUCCGGAUUUAUUGGGUGUAAAGGGCGUGUAGGCGGGACAGAAAGUACGAUGUGAAAACCAGAGGCUAAACAUCUGGCCUGCAUUUGAAACUGUUGUUCUUGAGGAGCGGAGAGGUAAUCGGAAUUCCGUGGGUAGCGGUGAAAUGCGUAGAUAUACGGAGGAAAACCAGUGGCGAAGGCGGCUACCUGUCCAAAUACUGGCACUGAGUCACGAACGCGUGGGGAGCAAACAGGAUUAGAAACCCCGGUAGUCC
RNAcentral lists this ribosomal RNA (428 nucleotides) under uncultured bacterium. RNAcentral's name for it is "partial 16S ribosomal RNA". It matches the Rfam family "Bacterial small subunit ribosomal RNA", at positions 354 to 796 of the family's 1533-position model. The record is from RNAcentral.